Electrophorus electricus (electric eel) is the source of this 1045-nucleotide long non-coding RNA. RefSeq lists it as uncharacterized. The record is from RefSeq and is a predicted model, not a curated record. NCBI's taxonomy places the organism in Eukaryota, Metazoa, Chordata, Actinopteri, Gymnotiformes, Gymnotidae.
GCAUUUACCGUAGUCUAGUUGGACAACAUACAAAAUGUGUUCCCCAAACAGUCUGUAAUUGAGAUAUUCUAGGUCCAAUAAAUGUUCAGUAUUUUUACCACAGAAGAGGUACAAGCGCUUAAAGCCGUAACCCUCAGUAUUUCUCAAACAGGGGCUGGGACAGCAGUUCUAAGAUUAAACAUUAGAAGGCGGGGGAUGCUGGGCUUAGGUUUUAAAGAGUGUUCCUCUCAAAACUGAGUAAACAACUUGCAGCAGUCACUUGAGUGCUUGUUUCUAAAGCUGGUUUGCAGUAUUGCAACACAGAUAAAUUCUUAUAGGCUCAUUUAGAACCACUAGAGUGAGUAAAGUAGAUUGCCGACUAACUGGAUCUUCUGACUUGGUGCAGUGGACAGCUCUACAUGGGCUGCAGAACAGGUGGAAAGGAAACUGUGCUGGAAAACUCUGACCUACCAGGGCCUCCCACCCCCUGUUCCUCUCCCUCUCCCUCUCUGCUUCCCUCCCUCACUUCCUCCCUGCGUAUGUUGACAAGACACAGCUAAAGCUUCCAUAAUACUGGCUCUUCACGUUCGUGACCCCAAAGCAAGCAUACAUCCACGUGCGUGCAUGCACAUGGACAACUUUCCAAAUCCUCAGCCAACAUCCUUUCAUCUGUCAAUGUCCGGGCCCCCUCCUUACGAAGCCACCCGGCACAGAGGAGAGCCACACACAUACCUCGGUGUGGGGAAAUGCAGCCAGAGACCUCCCAACGCCCACAUCCUAACCCACGAUCCCUGACGCACAGCGAGCCUUUGGCAAUGCUCCCAAACCUCGAGCAUGAAAACCGGAGCAGCACCAAGCCCACGUAUCCAGCGCAGGGCCCCACCUUCUUUCCCGAAACCGGCCGACGGCGAUGAGCACGCGCUAAGGCGCGCGAGCGUCUCUGCACCGUGAGGAAGUUGCUCACGCGCGCUGUUCAUGUGAGCACAGGCAGGCCAGCAUGAGGAAGACGAAGGUGAAGAGGCCAGAGAAGGAGACAGCCACCACGGCCAGCGAGGACGGCCACGAC